Molecule: ribosomal RNA, 253 nt
Filed under: uncultured bacterium
Lineage: Bacteria
Description: partial 16S ribosomal RNA
Rfam family: Bacterial small subunit ribosomal RNA
Source: RNAcentral
CACGUAGGUGGCAAGCGUUAUCCGGAAUUACUGGGCGUAAAGGGUCCGCAGGUGGGAUGGUCAGUCCGAUGUGACAGUACCCGGCUUAACUGGGUGAGGCCAUUGGAAACUGCCAUUCUUGGGUCACGGAGAGGGAAGCGGAAUUCCGGGUGUAGUGGUGGAAUGCGUAGAGAUCCGGAGGAAUUCCAAAGGCGCAAGCAGCUUCCUGGCCGAGGACUGACACUGAGGGACGAAAGCGUGGGGAGCAAACAGG